AAAAAAUUUUCUUUUAUCAAUUUUACAUUUAUUUAAUUGAAAGAUGAAUAAAAGCUGUCAGAUUGAUCUAUUAUAAGACUUUUAACGAUCGUUGAAUUAAAAAGGAAGCAUGUAUACGCUAGAAAUGAAUUUGAAAAGAAGCGCGCUCGGAUCGUGUACCAUCGUGUCUCGAAUAAACGGAACGAGUGGAACUGUGUGGAAUGCUCAGAUCGAGAAAGCGCAUGCGCAGUAAACGAAAUAGAAAGAUAUACGAGAACAGUGAAAUGAAAAUGUCGCGAAUUCCGAUAUUAGUGAUUUUGGGUUCAACUGGUUCAGGAAAAUCAAGACUUGGGAUUGAAUUGGCACGAAGAUUCUGCGGGGAAAUAAUAUCGGCGGAUAGUAUGCAGAGAUUAGAGAAAGUUCAUGCGCGUUGCCGUUGUGAACUAUCAACAUACAUAAUAUUCAUAAAUGGGGAGAUGCAAAUCCGCAAUGCUGCCUCACAGUCACGGCAUCGGUCGUAGUUUUCGUGGAACGUCUGGGUUGGCAUCAUUGCCGAGUAUCUAAUUGGACCGUGGUUUCUGCCGCGUAGGCUGAGUUGUGCCAAUUAUAGACAAUUUCUAGAAAACACUCAUACUGCCAUGGAUUAUCUUGAUCAACGGUACUUUGGUCGUUGGAUUGGUAGAAGAGGACCAUUGCUUGGCCUACACGCUUUCCGAACAUCAAUCCCCUACAUUCUUUUUUUCUUUGGGUAUACCUCAAACAACUUAUUUAUGCCACACUGGUCCGUAACGUAGACGUUCUACGUGAUUGUAUUCUGUAUGGAUGUCAUCGCAUUUGGAAUACUGUUGAGAUUUUUGUUCGGCAGAACAUGAUACAAUAUAAUGAUGCUGAAGGCCAUUUCCAACAUUUGCUGUGGUCAACAAAUAUGAUGAGUGAAGGAUUGUAAUACAGUUAUGAAGCAUUUUUGUAUCUGGUUUAAUGUUCAAGCAUUUUCGGAUCGUUCUGGUUUUAUAGAAUAUUAUUUCUUCCUUGGAGUUAUAUAGUAAAAUAGACUUCCAAAAUUUAACCAAAUGUUUUAUGAACAUCCUAU
Molecule: unclassified non-coding RNA, 1069 nt
Organism: Vespa mandarinia (Asian giant hornet)
Lineage: Eukaryota; Metazoa; Arthropoda; Insecta; Hymenoptera; Vespidae
Source: RefSeq, a predicted model, not a curated record